This 301-nucleotide ribosomal RNA is filed under the name uncultured bacterium. Its description in RNAcentral is "partial 16S ribosomal RNA". It matches the Rfam family "Bacterial small subunit ribosomal RNA", at positions 509 to 809 of the family's 1533-position model. The record is from RNAcentral.
CAGUCGCCGCGGGAAUACAGAGGGUGCGAGCGUUAAUCGGAUUUACUGGGCGUAAAGCGUGCGUAGGCGGCUUUUUAAGUCGGAUGUGAAAUCCCUGAGCUUAACUUAGGAAUUGCAUUCGAUACUGGGAAGCUAGAGUAUGGGAGAGGAUGGUAGAAUUCCGGGUGUAGCGGUGAAAUGCGUAGAGAUCUGGAGGAAUACCGAUGGCGAAGGCAGCCAUCUGGCCUAAUACUGACGCUGAGGUACGAAAGCAUGGGGAGCAAACAGGAUUAGAUACCCCAGUAGUCCCUGUCUCUUAUAU